Molecule: ribosomal RNA, 432 nt
Filed under: uncultured bacterium
Lineage: Bacteria
Description: partial 16S ribosomal RNA
Rfam family: Bacterial small subunit ribosomal RNA
Source: RNAcentral
ACGAACGCUGGCGGCAUGCCUAACCCAUGCAAGUCGAACGAGACCUUCGGGUCUAGUGGCGCACGGGUGCGUAACGCGUGGGAACCUGCCCUUAGGUUCGGAAUAACUCCCCGAAAGGGGUGCUAAUACCGGAUAAUGUCUUCGGACCAAAGAUUUAUCGCCUUUGGAUGGGCCCGCGUUGGAUUAGCUAGUUGGUAGGGUAAAAGCCUACCAAGGCGACGAUCCAUAGCUGGUCUGAGAGGAUGAUCAGCCACACUGGGGCUGAGACACGGCCCAGACUCCUACGGGAGGCAGCAGUGGGGAAUAUUGGACAAUGGGCGAAAGCCUGAUCCAGCAAUGCCGCGUGAGUGAUGAAGGCCUUAGGGUUGUAAAGCUCUUUUACCCGGGAUGAUAAUGACAGUACCGGGAGAAUAAGCUCCGGCUAACUCCGUG